Triticum aestivum (bread wheat) is the source of this 4586-nucleotide RNA transcript. RefSeq lists it as uncharacterized. NCBI's taxonomy places the organism in Eukaryota, Viridiplantae, Streptophyta, Magnoliopsida, Poales, Poaceae. The transcript is spliced from 4 exons. The record is from RefSeq and is a predicted model, not a curated record.
AGCCCGCACGACCCUUGCUCCCCGAUCCCAUCUCGACCUCCAUCCCGCCGCCACCUCCUGCCUCGCCCCGCCCCGCCCAGCCUCACUGCGCGCCGCCCGCCGCCCGCCGCCGACGCGCCGCGCACCGCAGCCGCGCCCGCACCCAUUUCCCAUCGAUGCGCCAAACAGGGGCGAUGAUGGACGGCGCCGCCCAGCUCCUGUCCGACGGAGUCGCCGGGUUCCCGCUCUCGGGGCCAACCCCUCCCCUGUGUCGGCUCGCGCAUCGGCUUGGAGGCCCCUCGGGGCUGCCGCCGGUGCGGGAGUCCUGCGCAGCCGUGAGGGCUGGGGACCAAGCGGCGGGGCCCGUGGUGCGUUCCUGUUGAGGGCUUGCUGGGGUUGGCCGGGAUCUGAGCCGCCGUCGAUGGAUUUCUCACAGAUCGUUGUACCAUCGUCCCGGUCGCCGCCGCGUCAGUUCCACACCGCUACAGCACAGCCUACCACCGCCACUCCAUUGGCUUGGAUUUGCUUGCGGCAUGGGCUGGGAACUGUACGGUGUUGUCUGAUGCAUGUUCCGCACUGGGAGGUUUGGUCGGCUGACGCUAGGUAUGAGCAGCUCUUGAGCCUGAUUGCUGGAUGUGCGCACGCAUGCAUGUAUACUUCUCACUUGCACUGCUUAUACAACACAUUGCAUGUACACCAUGGCCGUGGACAGGCGAACGUGCUCCUACUCCUCACAAGGCACCCACAGUCUAUUAGCAAGCCAAUCCAAAACUUCACCAUGCAUUUUUUUGAAAGGACAACUAAGUAUCUUUGUUAGUAACAUCUUUGUCAGAAAUUAGAAAAAACGGCAGUGCAUUAGUUGAGCUAAUCACCUAGCUUCAUCUCUUGGAUUAUGCAUUGAUAGUAUGGCACAUGUUGUAUCGUUAUAAGCAAUUUUUGUUAGGAGGUAAGAUUUUAGUGUCGUCGUUCAGUUUUUGUUACAUACAAAAUGAAUAUGAUUAGUUAAUUUUGUUUUCUUUUAAGAGGUAUUUCUCUCACGAGCCUUUGUGUUAUCCAUGUGAAUUCCACUAGAUUUAUCGUCCGUGUACCUAAAUUGUGCAUAUUAUCAAAUUUCUGGAAAAAAAGUUGAGCGCUUAUUGUGGCCAUCAUCUGCAUAGCACCACACCUAGAGCUAAAAUCAAGUAACCUUCAUGGAUUUUGUUGACAAGAAAGACAACGAACUUAAUUUAACGGCUUGAAGUCAAUUGCACAUGUCUCAUACUGCAUUGAACCUUGGCCGAAGCACUCGACCACGACAAGCAGCAGCUCGGGAAGCCUUUGCAAUUCAUGUAUUUACAACAUCUACAGUUCAUGUAUUUACUGUCAUGCAUUGCACCUUCAUGGUUUUUGUUGUACUUCUGCAUUUGCAGCAUUUACAGCUUAAUGCAAUCAGGAAUUGGUUAUAGAUUUCAUGUGAUUUAAUUUCUAAAUGUUAACUACAGUGACAACUUAUGACUUUCAUAGGUUUUAUUUCCAUUGAGAGAGAGCGGGCAAUGGAUCGUGAGGUGGAAUGAAAUUAUAAGCAAAUUGAUCUGACCAUCUCUUGUUGUCAGGGAAUCUGUGUGAUCUGUUCUACUUUGACUUGGAGUGUACAACUAUGAUAUUGUACGUGAUGAUUUUUUUUUGAUUCUGCUACUAGAGGUCAGUCAGAGGUGGUAAUUAUUAGUGGCAAAAAAGAGGCGGAAGGCUAUGAAAGAAGUGUUCUUCCCUUAUUUUUAUGAAGGUAAGGUCUUGUUCUUGGAUUCCUGCUGCUCUAGAUUGCUUGGCAGCUCUAAUUUAUCACUUCAUGACCUUAUGCUCCACCAUUAUCUUUGAACACUUGAUACUUAUUUACUUUUAUUUGUUGGCUUCUUUUUUAUAGUCAUCUGAUUUAAAAAUGCUAGCAUGUGCCACUUUAGUAUCUUUCAAUUUCAGCAAACAUAUUGGAUUAUCUUGACAUAUGUUGGCAUUGACAACAUAAUAUAGAUUGUCACUAUUAAUUUCAAUGUUCAUGCUCCAUCCUAUUUAAAUUCGUAUUUGGAUGGAAGUCAACACACUAAGAACUGUAUGCUUAAUGAAUGAUGUUCACAGCAAUUACUCGAAUUUCUUGCAUUCACUUGUGCAGACCGAUGGUUAAUUGUGAACUAUGUAUAUUCUGUAGGUUCUUCUUAGUGAGAUCAAACAAAGCACAAUCGUAUUUUCUCGAACUAUACACAUGCUAUGAUUUUCAUGCUCUCUGUAGUAAUUAUGUUGAAUUCUCAUAAUUCCUUUUUCAUUAUUAUGCCAAACAAUUUGUAUGCUAAAAACAUACUUCAUAAUCCCAUCUCCCCGCGUCGUCCCGAUUUGUUCCAGCUGGGCACUGCCUCGGCUGCAAAGCGUGUGUUAUCCCAUGAAGCAGGCCCUCCUUUGCAAGGCUGACGACGAUAGCUUCAACUUCGCCGCCUAUUCUGGUCGAUGAUGUCAUUGAUAAUAACCAGGAAGUUUUCACUGCUCAGUUCAUCCAGUUGAAUCCUUCUAUUGUAAUUCUAUUCCCUACCUUUUCUUACUCGUAGGAAAUUCAAGUGUGGUACACAUGUGAGUAUCUUCUCCUUCCCUCUAUUGUAUGCAUGUGGUCAUUUGUUAUCCCGAUUAAGAAUCAAGAUCCACUACAUUCUUGAAUAUUGAAGACUGUUUUAGUUGGUCCAGAUUAAACUUGAUAAAUACAAUUUCCUUGUUGGUUCCAUCUGAGUUGUAUAAUUGAUUUGGGCAGUUUUCAGUAAUCUUAAGCUGUCUUCAGAUUUUAGCUUCCUCAAUCAUUCUGAAUUAUUUAACCUCAGUAUGAGGUACAUGUGUUCCAAAAAUUAAUCCUGAGAAAUUUGUAGUUGACUAGUUGGGUCUGUUUGAUUUGUUUAGUAGACUGCAACGGCAGUCACAAUUGUUCAGAUCUAUUCUAAAGCUGCAUUAUUAGCACUGCAAUAUCUUUGUUACUUCAACCAAAUAGUCCAGUCGUGUCUUAUUGAUUUGGACGGGUUCUUACUAAUCUUUAAGCCAACUUCAAAUUUUAGCCUGCUCGGUCAAUCUGGAUUAUUUAGUGUCAAUUUUGAUGCAUGUCUUUAAUAAAAUAAGAAACUGAUUUUGGGUGCUAAAAUAAACACUAAACACUACUUGUUCAUGGCGACUAUGUGUAGAAAGACGAUCAUGGUGGAGAUCCCGACGGUCGACGUGAAGCCGGGAUGGAAUAAGGGCACGAAGAUCACCUUCCUAGAAGGAACAAUCUGAUUUUUUCGGUACAGUUAUGUGUUCCAAAAAGUUAUUGUGAUGUAAUUUUUAUAUUAACACUAAUCUAUGAAGUUAUGUUUCCAGACAUUUCACUUUUUGCAUCAGCUGAGGCACAUUUUAUUUUCAAAUAAUUUCUGAAGUAAAAGUUGUGAAUGAACUGCAUAAUCUUUCAUGUGUCUGAAUUACACUUGAAAUAAAAAAUUAGAUAGCAAGGUGCGAGGAAAUGUGAGAAAAGUUGUCCAAAACCGAAGAACCUUUUUUACUUUUCUUCCCAUUACAUGUUUGCUAUUUACACUAUGCUUUAUUUUUACUAUAAUGUCAAAAUUAUCAUGUUUUAAGAUGAAUGGUAAAUCAAAUAAGGAAAAAACUAUGGUGGCCAGAUUUGGUAGCCCUUAGCCCUUAUCAUGUUUUUAUAUCCAAAAUACUGUUUGAUCCUUGUUCAGUCUUAUUUGCAGCAUAAACUAUGUACAGUAAUCAUUAGACCAUCUUUGAAGAUCUCACGAACAAAAGCAGAAUGGUUCUUUCUAUACUGUUCGACCCCCCCUCCCCCCCCCUUGCGUUCUCUCGCAGGGAGUGGCUAGCGCGCAACACUGCCAUGCUCCUCUGCUGCUCCGUCAUCACAGGGUGGGACGGCGACCUCGCCUUCCUGUUCAUUGUUCUGUCGGUAGCGACGUUCUUUGUCCAGGAUCAUCCGGACAGGGAGGUCCUCCAGGCCAUGCGUCUAGGCAUGUACUGCAACGCCGACCACAUGGCUAAGAUGGUCGUUGCCGCAACCGAGUUCCGUGCUCUCCGUUCUUCAGUAAAUCCAGAUGCGGAAACUAAAAGGCGAGUACCAUGGGAUCAUGAAGUAUAUAAAGCAAAGGAGGAGGAGUGCCAUCUCCUCUCCAGCAAGAUAUUUUUUUUGCUGGGGAAUGAACGAAUUGAAUGCAAGAUUGCAUUGUUACAAGGACAGAGAGUGGACCACCACCUUCAGUUUCUCAGAUUCCCUGUUUGCAUUCGCCAUUCUCAACAAGCACCAGGAUGUGGCUUUGGUUCUGCACAAACAAUAUCUUCAAUGGUUUCUAGAUCAAGCCCUAUGUUCUUUAUCUGAACAAUAGACAUUGUAAUUCUUCCAUCCAUUACCUCUGAAAGUCAAGAAUCGAAAGAAAAGUCAUUGGCAUAUCUCUGUCACCAAGGAAGGUUCGUUAGACAGAAAAAUGACCUCUGGUUAUGUAUGAGAUGAUGCAAUGCACAUAUCUCUGAAUGAAGCACAACAGGAAUUUACAUCCUGUAAUGCUAACUGUUGAUCAUUCUUCUCAGAAGUAUCAAGUCAUUAUCUCAUUUGCCCCCUA